AAGUCGGGCGAUAACGCGCCCAGUCGGCUUGUACAACGGGCGACCACGAGCGCGUGCUUGCCAGCCGAGUGCACGGCCGGCAAACUUUCGGCAUCGGUAUCCCGCGGCGUGAGUGGCGUCUGCCAGAAGCGGAGCGCGCGGCCAACAAGGGAGCUCUCUUCAAAUAUCGAUUAUUUCCUAAUGUGCGUAAAGACACCGUCGUGUGUACAUCGUGUGUUAGUGUGAGCGUGUACCAGUUGAUAGCUGCACGGCGGCUCGCUCCAGUAUUGUCGGAGCGAACCACUGAUACGGAUCGCCGGGGUUCGCACCUCUGCGCCACAAAUCGAACACCAAAACGCACCCAACCUUCGGGGCCGACGGUGAAUGUUUCACGCGAACGCGCGCGGCGGUUGGAUUCGCCUCUUCAAGUAAAUAAACAAACCAAUGAAGAUUUGGGCUGACAUUGCCUGGGGAUCAAUUGAGUGAAGAGCAUAUUCCAAUUGUCCAACAUUUGAGAUUUUAUUUCGUUCAUUCCAUCCCCGCAUCACCCGAGGUCAUUUUAUCAAAAAGCAUGUCUGCACACUCGGGCGGCGUCGAGGAGACAGACGACGCCGGUCACGGCGGCGGCGGCGGUGGCAGUGACGCGGUGCAAGAGGUGGAAGCGCAGCGUCAACAGGCAAACAAGUAUCAAGGACGCCAGCAUCGCUCAAACUCCCUGGGCGCACGCUUGUCGUUCAAAGGACUGUUACGAGAUGGCCUGCACAUGCACUGGCGCGAUGGUCAACAGAAUCGGCCGAAAACACGGCGUGAAGCAUUUCGUCCUUGCCAACGAGUGGGCGUCUGCACGGCGGACCCUUGCGAGGUCGAAAACGCACACCGGAUCUAAAGUGUCAUCGGCAACGCAUACAAAAAGAGCUUAAUUUAAGAUUACCUGCGAAUCGGUCGGAAUUCGACCAUGCGUGUGCAUUGCACAUCCGUUUCAAUAUUUAAGCGUUGUUGUGUUUAAUUUAUGUUUUCGUCGAAGAACCAGUACAGAUGUACACUCACAGACAUUUAUUGAAAUAAUAAAGGCAAAGGUGAAGUUGUUCA
Long non-coding RNA from Dalotia coriaria, 1068 nucleotides. RefSeq lists it as uncharacterized. The record is from RefSeq and is a predicted model, not a curated record. NCBI's taxonomy places the organism in Eukaryota, Metazoa, Arthropoda, Insecta, Coleoptera, Staphylinidae. The transcript is spliced from 3 exons.